This 1436-nucleotide long non-coding RNA is filed under the name Olea europaea subsp. europaea. Lineage: Eukaryota; Viridiplantae; Streptophyta; Magnoliopsida; Lamiales; Oleaceae. The record is from RNAcentral.
UGGAUGUUGCAUCUUUUGGAAUUCUAGGAGGGGUCAUAUCGUCUUUACAUACCUAAUGCACUUUUAUGUCAUGUUCUUGUAUUCCUGGUGUUUGUCACAUUGGUGUCUAGUUGAGUACCUUCUGGCAAAGCUAGUUUCUGCAAAAUUUAGCGUCUUGCUGCUAUGUUGGCUUUUAUUCACAGUUUGUUUUUUCUUUUGUUAGUUUGAGUGUCAUGAUGUAUUGACUCGACAUGAGCUACGGUGACUUAGAUUUUGUGAUGAGUUAUGCCUUUUAACGCGACAACUCCCUUUGGGUGACAUAACGGAAAUAGACUCUUGUGGACAAUAUAGACCGUCUCAAUAUGCCUUGAUCAUUCAGUGACCAAUAAAUUAUUUGACAAAUUUUUAUCACAUCUAGUUUGAUCUCAUUCGAUAGGGUAAAUAACACAAAACAUCCCUAUCUUUCAAUGUAAUUAUGCAAAACGUUCAUAUCUUUCAUUUUUUAACAUUUUUACCCCUAUUUCCACAUUUCAUUCCACAAUAGGUCAUUUUAAUUCAUUUUUCCAAUAAAAAAGACAAUUUUACCAUACUAUUCAAAUAAAACAAAAAGAAAUGAAAUGAAAUAAACUAAUUGCAACAAUAGUCCCGAAUUUUCAAAAAAAUACAAAUUAGUCACAAAUAUAUAAUUAAAAAUCAAAAUUAAAUAAACAAAAAUUAGUCAUGUUCUUCCUUCACACACAUUUUUUAUUUACAUUAAUUUUUUCUGUAAUUAAUAACAGACACAUAAGCCCAUUUUGUAGAAUUAAACAUCCAUAUGCCCCUUUGGUGUAAUUUCACUUCAGUAUAAUCCUCGAGGUCUGAAAUUUAGUGUUUAUUUCUUGGAAAUUCCACUUGGUUAUCUUGAAAUUUUUAGGUUAUUUUUCGAAAGGGAUCUUGAAGGAUGAUUAUGAAAGAUGAUAAAAAUGGUGAAAAGAUCCUCUUUUUGAAACAUGGUGAGAAGGAGGCUUUCAGAUAUUACUAAUUCUGUGCCAAAUCCCAACUCUCUUGCGAUUGCGGAGUAAGCUGCCUUCAGAUUCUGCUUUUGACAAAGAUUACAUCGACCAACUUGUUAAGGUAAUUUGUUCUGCAUUUUCUGUAUACAUCAUAUCUAUUAGCUUUUGAUUUAACUUUCUCUUUGAUAAUUAUUUUGUGUGAUUUAUGGAUUUUUGGAACAGGAAAACAUCGGAUUGGUGAAAUUAUUGAAGACAAAAAGUACUUUUUCUUUACUUUCUUGCUGUGUCUGUGUGUUACCUUGAAUUGCAUAUUUGGUUUCCCUUUGUUUUUAACUUAGGAUCCGUUUGAUUGCGAAGAUGGAAUUGAAUUGAAUUGAAAACGAAUUCUAGAAAAUUGAAUUGCCUAAAAAUUGUUUUAAUGGGAAUUGUAAAUUAUUGUGUUUGAUUGGUAUAAUUUUUCAUGCG